Molecule: unclassified non-coding RNA, 329 nt
Filed under: soil metagenome
Description: partial contains 5.8S ribosomal RNA, internal transcribed spacer 2, and large subunit ribosomal RNA
Rfam family: 5.8S ribosomal RNA (bases 1-120)
Source: RNAcentral
GAUGAAGAACGCAGCGAAAUGCGAUACGUAAUGUGAAUUGCAGAAUUCAGUGAAUCAUCGAGUCUUUGAACGCACAUUGCGCCCCCUGGUAUUCCGGGGGGCAUGCCUGUCCGAGCGUCAUUACAACCCUCAAGCUCAGCUUGGUAUUGGGCCCCGCCGACCCGGCGGGCCCUAAAGUCAGUGGCGGUGCCGUCCGGCUCCGAGCGUAGUAAUUCUUCUCGCUCUGGAGGUCCGGUCGUGUGCUCGCCAGCAACCCCCAAUUUUUUUCAGGUUGACCUCGGAUCAGGUAGGGAUACCCGCUGAACUUAAGCAUAUCAAUAAGCGGAGGA